RNAcentral lists this ribosomal RNA (346 nucleotides) under uncultured bacterium. Its description in RNAcentral is "partial 16S ribosomal RNA". It matches the Rfam family "Bacterial small subunit ribosomal RNA", at positions 338 to 681 of the family's 1533-position model. The record is from RNAcentral.
CCUACGGGAGGCAGCAGUGAGGAAUAUUGGUCAAUGGGCGCGAGCCUGAACCAGCCAAGUAGCGUGAAGGAUGACUGCCCUACGGGUUGUAAACUUCUUUUAUAAAGGAAUAAAGUGAGGCAAGUGUGCCUUGUUGUAUGGACUUUAUGAAUAAGGAUCGGCGAACUCCGUGCCAGCAGCCGCGGUAAUACGGAGGAACCGCGCGUUAUCCGGAUUGAUUGGGGUUAAAGGGAGCGUAGAUGGGUUGUUAAGUCAGUUGUGAAAGUUUUCGGCUCAACCGUAAAAUUGCAAUUGAUACUUGCAGUCUUGAGUACAGUUGAGGUAGGCGGAAUUCGUGGUGUAGCGG